This 546-nucleotide ribosomal RNA is filed under the name Triticum aestivum (bread wheat). Its description in RNAcentral is "partial small subunit ribosomal RNA". The record is from RNAcentral. Lineage: Eukaryota; Viridiplantae; Streptophyta; Magnoliopsida; Poales; Poaceae.
AUGGCCUCCUCCUUCAAUGGCGGCAGUGUCCUCUUCGUGAUCUCCGCCCUCCUCCUCUUUGGCGCCACUCAGGUCACCCCCAUGGACUAUCUGCUCCCCAUAUGCAAGACCGUCGGCGGCGGCAGCACCUUCGUCGGCAUCCAGUUCUGCAUGGACACCUUCCACUCCGAUCCCCGGACCGCACACGGUGCGACGUACCAAGAGCUCGCCGCCAUCGCAGUCGACCUCCUGACGCUCAACGCCACCAGCACCAAAGCCAAGAUCGGCGGCCUUCUCGGCGGCAAGACGGCGGACGCCGCCACCGUGCAGUGCCUCAGAUCCUGCCAAACUCUUUACGGCGGCAUAUUGCAGCGGCAGCCUGGCAGCGCCGCCGCGGUCAAGGACGGCAAGUUCAGCGAGGCAAUCUCGUCCCUGGAGAAAUCGGCGACCGCGGCCAAGGAGUGCGAGGAUGGCUUCAGCAAGAGCCACGUGCCGUCGCCGGUGACGGUGGAGAACGGCAACGCUUUCCAGCUCGCCAAGCUCGCCGUCGCCUUACUCCAAGUCUAG